This 435-nucleotide ribosomal RNA is filed under the name uncultured Flavobacterium sp. RNAcentral's name for it is "bacterial SSU rRNA". It matches the Rfam family "Bacterial small subunit ribosomal RNA", at positions 358 to 790 of the family's 1533-position model. Lineage: Bacteria; Pseudomonadati; Bacteroidota; Flavobacteriia; Flavobacteriales; Flavobacteriaceae. The record is from RNAcentral.
GGAAUAUUGGACAAUGGGCGCAAGCCUGAUCCAGCCAUGCCGCGUGCAGGAUGACGGUCCUAUGGAUUGUAAACUGCUUUUGUACAGGAAGAAACACUCCGACGUGUCGGAGCUUGACGGUACUGUAAGAAUAAGGAUCGGCUAACUCCGUGCCAGCAGCCGCGGUAAUACGGAGGAUCCAAGCGUUAUCCGGAAUCAUUGGGUUUAAAGGGUCCGUAGGCGGUUUAAUAAGUCAGUGGUGAAAGCCCAUCGCUCAACGGUGGAACGGCCAUUGAUACUGUUAGACUUGAAUUAUUAGGAAGUAACUAGAAUAUGUAGUGUAGCGGUGAAAUGCUUAGAGAUUACAUGGAAUACCAAUUGCGAAGGCAGGUUACUACUAAUUGAUUGACGCUGAUGGACGAAAGCGUGGGUAGCGAACAGGAUUAGAUACCCGAG